Molecule: non-coding RNA, 798 nt
Filed under: Dalsira scabrata
Lineage: Eukaryota; Metazoa; Arthropoda; Insecta; Hemiptera; Pentatomidae
Source: RNAcentral
UUUUUUAUUAUAUAAAUUUGAUUCUGGUUUAUUGAAAUGGUUAUUUUGAUAAUUUGUAACAUGUAAAUUUUUGUGUGUUAAAAAAUAUUAUUUUAAUAAUAAUAUAUUUAUUAUUGAUUCGCAGUUUUUAUUUUUAUUAAUUUAAUAAUUUAAGAUAUAGUUAAUUAUUUUAUGACUAGCAAAAUUUGUGCCAGCAGCUGCGGUUAUACAUUUAGUUAAAAUCAUUUUUAUUAAGUAUCUAUUAUUAUGUUGACAUGGAAUUAUUUAUUUUUAGGUGAAAUUUGAAUUUAUAUGUUUAUAUGUUUGGUUUAUAGUUCAUUUUAGGAAAUUUUUUAUUUAAACUAGGAUUAGAUACCCUAUUAUUAAAAAUGUAAAAGUUUAUUUUCAGUAUUAUAAGUUAUGGCCUUUAAAUUGAAAGGAUUUGACGGUAAUUUAAUCAUUUUAGAGGAACCUGUUCUGUAAUUGAUGAUCCACGAUGAAUUUUACCUUUAUUAAUAUUGUUUGUAUAUCUCUGUUUGAUUGAGUGUUUUAUGAGAAUUUAUUCUCAUUUAAUUUUAUUGAAUUUGAUGUCAGGUCAAGGUGCAGCUAUAUAAAGGAUUGAAAUGGGUUACAUUAUAUUUUAUAUGUAUGGAUUAAUUUAUUUUAUUAUUAUUAUGAAAUUGGAUUUAAUUGUAAUAGUCAAUAUAUUUUGAUUAUGAUAUAUGUUCUUGAUUAAGUACAUAUCGCCCGUCACUCUCAUUAUAUGAUGAGAUAAGUCGUAACAAAGUAGUUUUAUCGGAAGAUGGGGCUGGAAUUUUA